AAUAUGCAUGUACACCUACAGUGUAAUUAAAACUCGCAAGCUAGUGUUUUAAGUGGGAGUGAAUGUAGGCGCACUGGGCUGGAGUUAUUUGAACAUCCGGUCCUUCAGUUUUUUGAAAAGAAGACGGACGCCAUUGAAGUUCAGCGCGGGAUAUGAAAAGGGUCGGCACCGUGGACUAAAAAAGUAUCUCACUGCAGCCUGUUCUUUUGAAAGUUUCAUUAAAGAAUUUGCGCUAGUAGAUUCUUCUACUCCAAAUUCUUCACUUUUGAGUGGAGUGGUAUGGGGUGAUAUGGACUCUUCAAACAAGGCACAUCAAUCCACUGGUGCAGGAGGUGAUAACACCUGCCAUAGGAGACGCAGCAGAGAAGGCCAAACGAAUGGUCCAGGAGGUUCUGGAAAAGAGUUCAGGGGGAGAGGAAAUAAUGGAGGAUUAUAGAAGAUCAAGCACCUUGAUUCACUGCACAAGAAGACUUCUUGUGAAUAUUCCAUCAGCCACAUGAUUGAAAUGCAUGGGAACACUUCUACGACCCUGCGAGUGGGACAGGCUAUGGCAUGGCGUCCAGAAACUGCGGCGAUGAGUGUCCCCGCGUUCGGUCAAGAACAACUCGGGGAGCCUUGCAUUUCAUACGUGAACACCAUGAUCAUUGAAGUUAUGUUAAGGUAGCAAGUUACAGUGUGGGUAUACCUCCGGAACACUUAACAAAACUGUCGAUAUGUACUCGAUAACAUGGGUCAAGAUUGAUGGCUCUGAAUAUGGGGAGGGAUUUGUUCUUUGCACUUAAGUCAAGGAUGAAAUUCCAGUGUUUGCCAGUAUUAUUUAAAUUCUCUUAAUUUAUAUUUUAUGUUAUGUUUUAUUUCAGUGUUUUGCUGAACAUUUCCAUGCAUAUGAUUGUGAGGAAAAUGUUUAUUGUUACAGUUAAUGAUUUGUACAAGUGUAAGGCUAAACAAAAUGUCUAUGGGCCGAACAGUGACCUAUAUUGUACCUGUGCACAUUAUUUUAGCCAUGUCAUGCCAAAGGUCAAUAAAGAAAAAGAAAAGUAA
Long non-coding RNA from Sardina pilchardus (European sardine), 1041 nucleotides. RefSeq lists it as uncharacterized. The record is from RefSeq and is a predicted model, not a curated record. The transcript is spliced from 5 exons. Lineage: Eukaryota; Metazoa; Chordata; Actinopteri; Clupeiformes; Clupeidae.